This 200-nucleotide ribosomal RNA is filed under the name uncultured prokaryote. Its description in RNAcentral is "partial 16S ribosomal RNA". It matches the Rfam family "Bacterial small subunit ribosomal RNA", at positions 1183 to 1382 of the family's 1533-position model. The record is from RNAcentral.
CGUCAAGUCAUCAUGGCCCUUACGGCCUGGGCUACACACGUGCUACAAUGGUCGGUACAGAGGGUUGCCAAGCCGCGAGGUGGAGCUAAUCCCAUAAAACCGAUCGUAGUCCGGAUCGCAGUCUGCAACUCGACUGCGUGAAGUCGGAAUCGCUAGUAAUCGCGAAUCAGAAUGUCGCGGUGAAUACGUUCCCGGGCCUU